Molecule: ribosomal RNA, 691 nt
Filed under: Cytobacillus horneckiae
Lineage: Bacteria; Bacillati; Bacillota; Bacilli; Caryophanales; Bacillaceae
Description: bacterial SSU rRNA
Rfam family: Bacterial small subunit ribosomal RNA
Source: RNAcentral
AGGUUUUCGGAUCGUAAAACUCUGUUGUUAGGGAAGAACAAGUAUCGGAGUAACUGCCGGUACCUUGACGGUACCUAACCAGAAAGCCACGGCUAACUACGUGCCAGCAGCCGCGGUAAUACGUAGGUGGCAAGCGUUGUCCGGAAUUAUUGGGCGUAAAGCGCGCGCAGGUGGUUCCUUAAGUCUGAUGUGAAAGCCCACGGCUCAACCGUGGAGGGUCAUUGGAAACUGGGGAACUUGAGUGCAGAAGAGGAAAGUGGAAUUCCAAGUGUAGCGGUGAAAUGCGUAGAGAUUUGGAGGAACACCAGUGGCGAAGGCGACUUUCUGGUCUGUAACUGACACUGAGGCGCGAAAGCGUGGGGAGCGAACAGGAUUAGAUACCCUGGUAGUCCACGCCGUAAACGAUGAGUGCUAAGUGUUAGAGGGUGUCCGCCCUUUAGUGCUGCAGCAAACGCAUUAAGCACUCCGCCUGGGGAGUACGACCGCAAGGUUGAAACUCAAAGGAAUUGACGGGGGCCCGCACAAGCGGUGGAGCAUGUGGUUUAAUUCGAAGCAACGCGAAGAACCUUACCAGGUCUUGACAUCCUCUGACAAUCCUAGAGAUAGGACUUUCCCUUCGGGGGACAGAAUGACAGGUGGUGCAUGGUUGUCGUCAGCUCGUGUCGUGAGAUGUUGGGUUAAGUCCCGCAAC